This is a long non-coding RNA of Anguilla rostrata (American eel), 832 nucleotides long. RefSeq lists it as uncharacterized. The record is from RefSeq and is a predicted model, not a curated record. The transcript is spliced from 2 exons. Lineage: Eukaryota; Metazoa; Chordata; Actinopteri; Anguilliformes; Anguillidae.
AACUUGUCAAGAUUGAAGGGAGGAUGGAUGGAGCUAAAUACAGGGAGAUUUUGGAGAAGAACCUGAAGAGGUCUGCAAAAAGACUGAAAAUGGGUCAGAAAUUCAUAUUCCAGCAGUGUUACGUUCCACGUCGUGUGUGUUGUUUUUUCCCCCCUCUGUAAUGCUGCAGGAGAGCCAUUCAUCAUUCCAUUCGCUGUCCCCGCUGUCAAUCAUCGUUAACCUGGUCCCACCAAUCACAUCCCUCCUCUGGAAGAUAAAAGCUGUGUGGCUGCUGCUGCUCGUCGUCUCUCUGUUAUUGAUCUCUGUUCUUUUUCGCUGUGUGGUUGUGUAUGUGCGGUAGAGAUUUGAGACCUGAGGAAACUUGUAUAGACACAUUAGAAAAGGGGUGGUUGCCAACUGUGUAUUUUUGUUUGUAAGAGUAGCUAGACAGUCUUUUGUUAUGCUUAGUUAGUCAGAUUAUCUUUUGUUCUAGCGCUGUUUGGUUUUGUUUAUUUCAUUUCUUUGGCUACAUCCAUGUCCCUUGGCCUUGUGACCUAGUUGUGUCUUGCUUUGUGUUAACUUGUACAAAUGUAAAUAUCACUUCACUUGCACUCUUAUAAUAAUAACACCUUUAAUAUCACAACUAAUAUUAAUAUGCAACUUUGUCUGCCGGACGGAGUGUGGCACAGUGGGUAAGGAACUGCGCUUGUAACCGAAAGGUCGCAGGUUCGAUUCCCGGGUAAGGACACUGCCGUUGUACCCUUGAGAAAGGUACUUAACCUGCAUUGCUUCAGUAUCUAUCCAGCUGUAUAAAUGGAUACAAUGUAAAGUGCUAUGUAAAAAAAAAUUAAAA